This 253-nucleotide ribosomal RNA is filed under the name uncultured bacterium. RNAcentral describes it as "partial 16S ribosomal RNA". It matches the Rfam family "Bacterial small subunit ribosomal RNA", at positions 524 to 776 of the family's 1533-position model. The record is from RNAcentral.
UACGAAGGGGGCUAGCGUUGCUCGGAAUCACUGGGCGUAAAGCGCACGUAGGCGGAUCUUUAAGUCAGGGGUGAAAUCCUGGAGCUCAACUCCAGAACUGCCUUUGAUACUGGGGAUCUCGAGUCCGGGAGAGGUGAGUGGAAUUCCUAGUGUAGAGGUGAAAUUCGUAGAUAUUAGGAAGAACACCAGUGGCGAAGGCGGCGCACUGGCCCGGUACUGACGCUGAGGCGCGAAAGCGUGGGGAGCAAACAGG